UUCUGCCACCGAAUACAUUAGCAUGGGAUAAUGGAAUAGGACCCUGUCCUCCUAUUUUCAGUUGGUUUUGGCAGCGCGAGGACUAGGGUAAUGAUUAAUAGGGAUAGUUGGGGGCAUUAAUAUUUAAUUGUCAGAGGUGAAAUUCUUGGAUUUAUGAAAGAUUAACUUCUGCGAAAGCAUCUGCCAAGGAUGUUUUCAUUAAUCAAGAACGAAAGUUAGGGGAUCGAAGACGAUCAGAUACCGUCGUAGUCUUAACCAUAAACGAUGCCGACCAGCGAUUAGGAGACGUUGAAUACAAAACACCACCAUCGGUGCGGUCGUCCUUGGCGUCGGUUUCCGCCGGCGCGAGGGCGGCUUAGCCCGGUGGCACCGGUGAAUGACUCCCCUAGCA
RNAcentral lists this ribosomal RNA (391 nucleotides) under Acanthamoeba sp. RNAcentral describes it as "SSU rRNA". It matches the Rfam family "Eukaryotic small subunit ribosomal RNA", at positions 787 to 1085 of the family's 1831-position model. Lineage: Eukaryota; Discosea; Longamoebia; Acanthamoebidae. The record is from RNAcentral.